GACGAACGCUGGCGGCGUGCCUAACACAUGCAAGUCGAGCGAGGUUGCGGAUGGGUGCUUGCACCCUGAAGCUACCUAGCGGCGGACGGGUGAGUAACGCGUGAGUAACCUGCCUUAUACAGGGGGAUAACAACGAGAAAUCGUUGCUAAUACCGCAUAAGACCACGGUAUCGCAUGGUACAGGGGUAAAAGGAGCAAUCCGGUAUAAGAUGGACUCGCGUCCCAUUAGCUAGUUGGUGAGAUAACAGCCCACCAAGGCAACGAUGGGUAGCCGACCUGAGAGGGUGAUCGGCCACACUGGGACUGAGACACGGCCCAGACUCCUACGGGAGGCGGCAGUGGGGAAUAUUGGGCAAUGGGCGAAAGCCUGACCCAGCAACGCCGCGUGAAGGAAGAAGGUCUUCGGAUUGUAAACUUCUGUCGUCAGGGACGAAAAGGACGGUACCUGGCAAGAAACCCCGGCUAACUACGUG
RNAcentral lists this ribosomal RNA (473 nucleotides) under uncultured bacterium. RNAcentral's name for it is "bacterial SSU rRNA". It matches the Rfam family "Bacterial small subunit ribosomal RNA", at positions 28 to 507 of the family's 1533-position model. The record is from RNAcentral.